Lucilia sericata (common green bottle fly) is the source of this 962-nucleotide RNA transcript. It is a transcript of the gene named G-protein coupled receptor Mth2-like, with no coding region annotated. NCBI's taxonomy places the organism in Eukaryota, Metazoa, Arthropoda, Insecta, Diptera, Calliphoridae. The record is from RefSeq and is a predicted model, not a curated record. The transcript has 6 exons.
UCCAUUCUUUCUUAUCACCAUAAUUUUUUAUUGUUCCCUGCCGGAAUUGAGAAAUUGUCAUGGAAAUGUUUUAUUAUGUAUCUGCUAUAUCUGACUAUUACGUACUCUUUAAUUUGUUACAAUACUUUGUCUUACGUACAAAUUGGUUUCUAUGAAUGUAUAACCAUUGGUUAUGUCAUUUACUUUGGUACAAUUGCCUUUUUAACCUGGAUAAGUAUCAUCAGUUACGAUACCUAUGUCAGUCUUACGGACUUAGAUUGUACAACAUUAUUUCGUAGAUAUUUCAAAUGGGGCUUUGUUAUACCUGGUGCAAUUACAUUUAUAAUAAUUGUAAUACAAUCGUUGAAAAUUAUUGAUGAAAAAUAUAAGCCGGGCAUAGAUAAUGAUAGUUGUGGAGUUAGAGUUAACCGCUGGUCGGCAUUUUUUUAUUACUAUAUACCUCAUAUUAUUGUAUUAGUUUAUUGUACUAUUAUGUAUUUAAAACUGAUUAGAUUUUUGGUGCUGAAUGAAAGAAACGCAACUGUAUUUGCUGGCAGAUUGAAAACAACCUUAUAUGAAAAGAUUUUCCCUCUAUUUUCGUUUGUUCAUAUUUAUGGGUGUUGUUUGGUUUUUGGAAAUACUAUCAUAUCUUGUGGAAAUGUUAAUAGGUCCAAAUAUAUUUAUUAUUAUACCGGACUUGUUUAAUGCCCUGCAUGGAUUAUUUAUAUUUUUUAGCAUUUUCAAUUCGCGUAUUUAUAGAUUUUUAAGAAAAAGAUGUUUACCUAAACGUUACUCUAGGCAAACUGAACUGACAAGAAGAACUUUUGAUUCAAGCUCAUCAACUUGACAACAGUAUUAUUUUAUUUUAAAUUAGCAUAAGUUUUUUAUUUUUAAUUAAUUACCCUUAACAGUUAAUAAUAGGAAAAACAAGUAAAAUUUAGUAUUUGUAGGUUUGUGCUAAGUCGCAAAAAACGAUCCUUCUG